GGCUGGGUGGCAGAGUGGUUAUGCAGAGGACUGCAAAUCCUUGGACGUCGGUUCGACUCCGGUCCCAGCCU
RNAcentral lists this transfer RNA (71 nucleotides) under Holosporaceae bacterium. RNAcentral's name for it is "tRNA-Cys". It matches the Rfam family "tRNA". Rfam says of the family: Transfer RNA (tRNA) molecules are approximately 80 nucleotides in length. Their secondary structure includes four short double-helical elements and three loops (D, anti-codon, and T loops). Further hydrogen bonds mediate the characteristic L-shaped molecular structure. tRNAs have two regions of fundamental functional importance: the anti-codon, which is responsible for specific mRNA codon recognition, and the 3' end, to which the tRNAs corresponding amino acid is attached (by aminoacyl-tRNA synthetases). tRNAs cope with the degeneracy of the genetic code in two manners: having more than one tRNA (with a specific anti-codon) for a particular amino acid; and 'wobble' base-pairing, i.e. permitting non-standard base-pairing at the 3rd anti-codon position. The record is from RNAcentral. Lineage: Bacteria; Pseudomonadati; Pseudomonadota; Alphaproteobacteria; Holosporales; Holosporaceae.